GACGAACGCUGGCGGCGUGCCUAAUACAUGCAAGUAGAACGCUGAAGGAGGAGCUUGCUUCUCUGGAUGAGUUGCGAACGGGUGAGUAACGCGUAGGUAACCUGCCUGAUAGCGGGGGAUAACUAUUGGAAACGAUAGCUAAUACCGCAUAAGAGUAGAUGUUGCAUGACAUUUGCUUAAAAGGUGCAAUUGCAUCACUACCAGAUGGACCUGCGUUGUAUUAGCUAGUUGGUGGGGUAACGGCUCACCAAGGCGACGAUACAUAGCCGACCUAAGAGGGUGAUCGGCCACACUGGGACUGAGACACGGCCCAGACUCCUACGGGAGGCAGCAGUAGGGAAUCUUCGGCAAUGGACGGAAGUCUGACCGAGCAACGCCGCGUGAGUGAAGAAGGUUUUCGGAUCGUAAAGCUCUGUUGUAAGAGAAGAACGAGUGUGAGAGUGGAAAGUUCACACUGUGACGGUAUCUUACCAGAAAGGGACGGCUAACUACGUG
This 495-nucleotide ribosomal RNA is filed under the name uncultured bacterium. Its description in RNAcentral is "partial 16S ribosomal RNA". It matches the Rfam family "Bacterial small subunit ribosomal RNA", at positions 28 to 507 of the family's 1533-position model. The record is from RNAcentral.